GAUGAACGCUGGCGGUAUGCUUAACACAUGCAAGUCGAACGGAAUCUUCGGAUUUAGUGGCGGACGGGUGAGUAACGCGUGAGAAUCUGGCUUCAGGUCUGGGACAACCACUGGAAACGGUGGCUAAUACCGGAUGUGCCGAGAGGUGAAAGGUUAACUGCCUGAAGAUGAGCUCGCGUCUGAUUAGCUAGUUGGUAGAGUAAGAGCCUACCAAGGCGACGAUCAGUAGCUGGUCUGAGAGGACGAUCAGCCACACUGGGACUGAGACACGGCCCAGACUCCUACGGGAGGCAGCAGUGGGGAAUUUUCCGCAAUGGGCGAAAGCCUGACGGAGCAAUACCGCGUGAGGGAGGAAGGCUCUUGGGUCGUAAACCUCUUUUCUCAGGGAAGAACACAAUGACGGUACCUGAGGAAUAAGCAUCGGCUAACUCCGUGCCAGCAGCCGCGGUAAUACGGAGGAUGCAAGCGUUAUCCGGAAUGAUUGGGCGUAAAGCGUCCGCAGGUGGCAAUGUAAGUCUGCUGUUAAAGAGUCUAGCUCAACUAGAUAAGAGCAGUGGAAACUACAUAGCUAGAGUACGUUCGGGGCAGAGGGAAUUCCUGGUGUAGCGGUGAAAUGCGUAGAGAUCAGGAAGAACACCGGUGGCGAAGGCGCUCUGCUAGGCCGUAACUGACACUGAGGGACGAAAGCUAGGGGAGCGAAUGGGAUUAGAUACCCCAGUAGUCCUAGCCGUAAACGAUGGAUACUAGGCGUGGCUUGUAUCGACCCGAGCCGUGCCGUAGCUAACGCGUUAAGUAUCCCGCCUGGGGAGUACGCCGGCAACGGUGAAACUCAAAGGAAUUGACGGGGGCCCGCACAAGCGGUGGAGUAUGUGGUUUAAUUCGAUGCAACGCGAAGAACCUUACCAAGGCUUGACAUGUCGCGAAUCUUGAUGAAAGUUGAGAGUGCCUUCGGGAGCGCGAACACAGGUGGUGCAUGGCUGUCGUCAGCUCGUGUCGUGAGAUGUUGGGUUAAGUCCCGCAACGAGCGCAACCCUCGUUUUUAGUUGCCAGCAUUAAGUUGGGCACUCUAGAGAGACUGCCGGUGACAAACCGGAGGAAGGUGGGGAUGACGUCAAGUCAGCAUGCCCCUUACGCCUUGGGCUACACACGUACUACAAUGCUCCGGACAGAGGGCAGCAAGCAUGCGAAUGCAAGCAAAUCCCGGAAACCGGAGCUCAGUUCAGAUCGCAGGCUGCAACUCGCCUGCGUGAAGGAGGAAUCGCUAGUAAUUGCAGGUCAGCAUACUGCAGUGAAUUCGUUCCCGGGCCUUGUACACACCGCCCGUCACACCAUGGAAGCUGGUAGUGCCCGAAGUCAUUACUCCAACCAUUCGUGGAGGAGGAUGCCUAAGGCAGGACUGGUGACUGGGGUGAAGUCGUAACAAGGUAGCCGUACCGGAAGGUGUGGCUGGAUCACCUCCUUUUUAGGGA
RNAcentral lists this ribosomal RNA (1469 nucleotides) under Nostoc sp. 'Peltigera neopolydactyla UK60 cyanobiont'. RNAcentral's name for it is "bacterial SSU rRNA". It matches the Rfam family "Bacterial small subunit ribosomal RNA". RNAcentral also lists the same sequence under 1 other name. The record is from RNAcentral. Lineage: Bacteria; Bacillati; Cyanobacteriota; Cyanophyceae; Nostocales; Nostocaceae.